Molecule: long non-coding RNA, 3989 nt
Filed under: Gallus gallus (chicken)
Lineage: Eukaryota; Metazoa; Chordata; Aves; Galliformes; Phasianidae
Description: lncRNA (ENSGALG00010018924.1)
Source: RNAcentral
CUCCAGUCCUUCCCCUACACCUUUCCUGUGCACACCCCUUUAAUGAAGUGUAAAAAUAGAUAUCUUUUGUGAUAUGUUUCUACACUUUCCUAAUGAGCAACGUAAUAACACUUUUAGUUUCAUCAUUGGUCUGCAACAACCACCCUAGCUGUCCUUGCCUUUCUCCAGAUUAGCUUCAGAGCACCACAGUUAUCCUGCCAGCCACCCCACAGUUGCCUAAGAAAAUAUUUGCAUGUCCAUACAUUUUCUGCUAUCUAACACUGUGUGUAUGAAACUCACUCUUAGAAGACAUUUCUCUGGCAGCCUGGAAAAUGCCAGUAUUCCUGUGUGCAAUGAGGAUAAAUGAAGAUUUACUUCUUGCUUGUCAUUUCUCUGGAGUGUUCAGCAUGGAAGGAGAUUGCUAAUGCUUGUCUGGUCCCCUAUGGACCACUGCCUUCCGCACAAGGAAAGGCUGGCAGCACAUGGAGGAAAAUCAUGCAACUCUUCUUCCGUAGGGAUGACUCCUCUGGGAGAAGGUUGGGGCGCACGGGCACAGUGUUGGGAGGGAAGUCUUUCUCUGUUGCAGAGGAGAAGUAGAGGAUUUUGGUGUUCAUGACCUUUUACCUGGCUGCUCUCUUCAACCCACAGUCCUAAAAAAUUAAUUGUCUGGAAAAGAUAUGAAACAGGAUUGAGUUCCUCAAAGGGACUCUCCUCUCGGCUGCUACAGGAUCUGCUGACUGCACACAUUCUGUCCUCUCUCUUGCCUGGCUCCCAGUUAUCUCCUUCCCUCCUCGAAAGUUUAUGAUUUUACUUUUGUGAAAUUUCUUAGCUUCUCACUUGGGGACUGAAGGAUGUUUCAUGAGCAGAAAUGGAGCAAAUGACUUUCCCUAUAACAGAUGAUACUGGAUAUCAACAAACAAAGAAAAAAAAAAAGCCAAAACAUAGCAUCAAACCAUAUGCUAUGAAGACCAACUCUGUCCCAGCUGAAACCAGGACAAGAGCCAAGGAGCAAGAUAUGAAGUUCUUCGUAACAGUUUUUCAGAGGGUAAAUGGGAACCCAUUUUGGAGAAGGAGUUCUCUGAUAUCUUUAGCAAAGUCUGCCUAAGAACAGUAUCUGCACAGCUAAGACAGUGAUUUACUAAUAUAUUGAUCUGAUUGAUAGUCCAUAAAUACUUUCUAUUACAGAACAGGAGAUGUUAUACAAAGAAGAAACCACUCCACAAUGCAAAUAAUUCUCUGUGCAAAGACUGUUGGUGGUGAUGAGUUUCCUAUUUAGAAUCAAAGCAUCAUUAAGGUUGGAAAAGACUACUAAGAUCAUCCAGUCCAACCCCAACCCAUCCCCACCAUGCCUACUAAUCAUGUCCCUCAGUGCCACAUCUCCAAGGCUUUUGAACACAUGCAGGGAUAGUAAAAAACAAAAACAAAAACAAACAAACAAAAAAACCCCUACAAAAUUUACUACUACUACUACAGAUAUGAGUGCUAGUGGCACGUUUUUCAUCUAUGAUAGAUGAAAGAGGAGACCUCUCAUCAGACAUCGGGCUAACAUAAACUAUCAGGGGGAAAUUAGUGACUUCAAUAUGGAGGAAUGAGAACCUGACCAGGAAUAGAGGGUGACUGGAAGGGAUCAUUGUAAGAAGACUUUUAUGCCAAAAAUCAAAUGGUGACAGAGCCGGUUUCAAAGAAGACAGUAUCGAGAGACUGUACUACCACUCUUCGUUAUUUCAAAGAAAGUGGUAUGCUGGCAUGAUGAUUCUUGGUAAAGAAAGACAAAAAGGGCAACUGGAAAGUGGAAAACAUGAAAGCUCCUAGGCAUGCAGUGGAGGAUUAAUCUGGAGUGUUGCCUUCAUCAUUGUAAAAUACCUGUGGUGCUGGAUUCCCCUGCUCUUUCUCCCUCUUCCCCCAGUAAAGUCAGCCUCCUGAUUUCUAAAGCAUAUUAUUUACUAGGUUCAAAAAUUAUGUAUGUACUUGCAUAUCCUUUUAAUUAGCCUAGAAAUACAUAUUUCUAUAUUACUAACAACUGAAGCGUUCAGCUCCCCUACCCUCCACCCCUCAACAAACAACCAAAUGAGAAAAAAAACCCCUCAGUUUUAUUUUCUGGAAUUUUGGGCCUGUUUCUCAUUUGUACUGGGGAUGCUUCCUAUCAUCAAACAGUAUGAGGGCACUGACAGGGAGUGGGCAUGUAAUUCAUGCUUGUCAUGCUGUGAAAUACUACUUGGAAGGUGGGAAAAAGCCUUCUCCUGAGUGUUUUUCAUUUAUUAUCCAUAAUGUUCCUAUUUCUAGAAGCCCAGGUCCUUCAUGGGGUUGUGACUGCAACAGAAGCUGUAUAAAUGAAGCACUAUUGGAAAUCAAGGGCUUCAACAUCUUUUUGUUUCUCCUUAUACGAGUGUAUGGGUAUAUAUUACUUUUGGCAGAUGCUCUCUGAAUUUUUUAAUUUCCCUUACCACUUACCUAAAGCAACCCUCUGAGAUAAUUUUUCAUGUCAGCAGCUAAUCUGAUCUAUCGGAGAGCGCGUUACUAAACUUCCUAUACAAAUCUGCUCAGUUUCCACAGUGCUCUUUAAAAAUCUCAAUCUCUCUCUCUGUUACCAAUGUCUACACCUGAAAGAUGCAAUUAGUUAUUAGCCAACAGCAGAUACCAGAUAUUACAGAUCAAUUUCUUUGAGCCUUAUUCUCCAUUCAGGAACAUAAACAAGCUGCAGUCCUCCAUAACUUCUGGUUGCACAAAGGAUAAAAACAUAUUCAGUUGCAAGACACUACUGUGCUGAGCACCCCAGGUCUGAUCAUGCUUUUCAUCCAUCUCAGUCCUUGCUUUAGCCAAACUAAAUGCUUCCUGAUCUGCAUGACCAGAAAAUGGCUACAGGGUAAAAGGAUUUUUGCUUUUGGGUCUGUUCCCUGAGUUGAUUUAUGGUACCUCUUUGUCCAUCUAUGCAGUAGACAGAAAUGCAUUGCUCUCCUCUUCAACCUAGACCCUUCAGUGUGAUCCUACUGCUUUCUGUGCUGCAUUGCCGACAUACCUUUAGACCACAAAUCCUUCCUAAGCUACCAGGAUUCUCCACCAAGUUCAGUAUUUCACAUUCUUCUUUGUCCACUGGGAAACUGAACUUCCAAUUAAAUUGACAUUAUUAUGAAGAACAGUUUCUUCGUCUUAAACGUUUGCCCUAAAAAUAAAGUGACAUUUUCUUUUUUGUUGUUGUUGUUUGUUUGCCUGAAAAUUAAAACUCUAUUUUUUUUUUCCUCUGGCUGGAAAACAUUCAUUUCACUCAAAUGUUUCCUCAAGAGUACCCCCUGCUUUCACACUUCAGUGAGCUGUCAUCUCCACAUUUAAUGUCAAAUUAAAACAAAACCUUUGUUGUGAACAUUCGUGAACUCUAAUGUUUCAGCCAAAGUCCUGAUCACAGUUUUAUAAUUUGAGCUAAACUCUGCAAACAUAAAUAACACUCACUUAGGGAUCAUUUAACUGUUUGUGAACACUUGUGGGUGCCUUGAGCUAGGCUGUGUUUAAACUGGAAUACUUUCAUUGCAUUAUGUUUCUCCAAUAGAUUAUCGACUCUUACCAUUCCAAUGGAAUGAUUCCCCAAAAUGAAAACAGAACUCAGCUGCACUUCACAGUUCCCUGAGAAAGUUAUGAUACCGUGGCCUAAUUUCACCAUCCACUGUAUUAUACCUUUCUAUACGAAAGCAAUAGCAGGAUUCGUAGCCUCAAAGCCCACUACUCAAAAGGGAAUAGUGUAACAUUCCUACAGUUUAUGCCUGUUUCAUUAAUUAAUUAAUGAAUUCCCCACUCAGAUUUUUAAUUUUUGGCAGCAGGAAGCUGACAUUCUGAACUGCUAAUGGUGGCCAACUCUCCAUAGCAUCCAUCAUCUCUUUAUAUAGUUAGUCUUUGAUGUCAAGGAAGCUCAGAGCUUUUCGCCUUUACAAUUCUGUAUGAUUUCCACAGUGCUCAUAUUAGAAAAUUCAGCUGAUAUGAAAAAUUGAUAAAGUACAGACUAGGUCAGCAGUUGUUUUAUC